This 164-nucleotide ribosomal RNA is filed under the name Limosilactobacillus fermentum. RNAcentral describes it as "Lactobacillus fermentum partial 16S ribosomal RNA". The record is from RNAcentral. Lineage: Bacteria; Bacillati; Bacillota; Bacilli; Lactobacillales; Lactobacillaceae.
GGUCCGACCUAUGGCAGGUUACCUACGUGUUACUCACCCGUCCGCCACUCGUUGGCGACCAAAAUCAAUCAGGUGCAAGCACCAUCAAUCAAUUGGGCCAACGCGUUCGACUUGCAUGUAUUAGGCACACCGCCGGCGUUCAUCCUGAGCCAUGAUCAAACUCU